CGGAACCGGGACGUGGCGG
RNAcentral lists this small nuclear RNA (19 nucleotides) under Arabidopsis thaliana (thale cress). RNAcentral's name for it is "snRNA_03790". The record is from RNAcentral. Lineage: Eukaryota; Viridiplantae; Streptophyta; Magnoliopsida; Brassicales; Brassicaceae.